UGAGGAAUAUUGGUCAAUGGGCGAGAGCCUGCACCAGCCAAGUCGAGUGAAGGAAGACAGUCCUAAGGAUUGUAAACUUCUUUUAUACGGGAAUAACGGGCGAUACGAGUAUUGCAUUGAAUGUACCGUAAGAAUAAGCAUCGGCUAACUCCGUGCCAGCAGCCGCGGUAAUACGGAGGAUGCGAGCGUUAUCCGGAUUUAUUGGGUUUAAAGGGUGCGUAGGUUGUUCGGUAAGUCAGCGGUGAAACCUGAGCGCUCAACGUUCAGCCUGCCGUUGAAACUGCCGGGCUUGAGUUCAGUGGCGGCAGGCGGAAUUCGUGGUGUAGCGGUGAAAUGCAUAGAUAUCACGAGGAACUCCGAUUGCGAAGGCAGCUUGCCAUACUGCGACUGACACUGAAGCACGAAGGCGUGGGUAUCAAACAGG
RNAcentral lists this ribosomal RNA (424 nucleotides) under Fusobacteriota bacterium. Its description in RNAcentral is "Fusobacteria bacterium partial 16S ribosomal RNA". It matches the Rfam family "Bacterial small subunit ribosomal RNA", at positions 355 to 776 of the family's 1533-position model. The record is from RNAcentral. Lineage: Bacteria; Fusobacteriati; Fusobacteriota.